This 1823-nucleotide long non-coding RNA is filed under the name Chrysemys picta bellii (western painted turtle). Its description in RNAcentral is "lncRNA (ENSCPBG00000005347.1)". The record is from RNAcentral. Lineage: Eukaryota; Metazoa; Chordata; Testudines; Emydidae.
GACUAGAUGACCUCCUGAGGUAUCUGCCAACCCUAAUCUUCUAUGAUUCUAUGAUCUCCUUAUCACAUCCUCACUUCUUGCCAGGCCUGCUGCCAAGCCUUUGCAUAUUGCCCCAGUUGGACCAUCCUCUGGUAUUCAUUUAGAUGAUGACAGGUGCACAUAGGCUGCAGAAGUGUAGUGUGCAGAUUCUGAGCAGUAGUGCCCUGAAUAGUAUUAGCCAGGAUGGGCAGGGAUGGUGUCUCUAGCCUCUGUUUGCCAGAAGCUGGGAAUGGGUGAUAGAGGAUGGAUGACUUGAUGAUUACCUGUUCUGUUCAUUCCCUCUGGGGUGCCUGACAUUGGCUACUGUCAGAAGACAGGAUACUGGGCUAGAUGGACCUUUGGUCUGACCCAGUAUGGCCAUUCUUAUGUUCUAGUAUAGAGAGGGCCUAAUUCAUAUUUGAGGCUAGAAAGGAAUAAAAAGUAUAAGUGGCUGAUAAACUUAUUGAUUUCCUACCAUUCCCCUUAAGGACAAAAGCUGCAAGCAAACCACAGGCUGCAGAAGGGAUGGAAAACUCCUCCGAAUGCUUUUUUUGAAUACUUGCCAUUCUAUGAAUACUUAAUUAUACAGGUCCCAGCUUCUCUUUCAUGCUGUGAACCAAGGAGCAGAGAGAGACGACCACAGAACCUAAACAACCAGUACUUGAAUUCAGGAACUGUGUCUGUAGAUAGGCGGAGUGGCCUCCCUCUGACGCUGACCAGGAACCACUCCCUGCCCUGUGGUGGACGGAGCCAGGCCAGGCCCACCCUUUGCGCCAGAAGCAGAGGGGUGGAACAGGAAGUAUAAGAUGUGGGGCCUCCAGCUCAGUUGAGGGAGAGCCAUGGAAGGAGUUGGAUGCCUCUGCCUUACUGCUGACCCUUGAGCCAGAGACUGAGCUGUACCAAUCCCUGCCCCUGGAGGAAUACCCCGAGGAGCUGCUGAGUACCCUGAGGAACCUGAGGGCCCGUGAGCGACAAAGCCCUUUGAACAGGUAGGGAUAGGAAGUAGCCCAGAGAAACCAGACAUUAAUCUGAUUGUGUUGCUGGAUCCAGAGUCAGUGUGUUUCAGGAGGAUCCCUGCUGACCCAGUGGCAGGAUUACUCGCCACUGCUAGGGCUUUGGGCUGGGACUUGGUGGAGUAGGUUGGGCCUGGGUCCUUCUACAACCUGCUGCCAGCCCCACUCCUGAGGUAGCAGCCUACCCACUUUAGGCCAGAUGGCCUCCAUUUGUUUGCUUUUUGCCGCACCCAGGGAGCUGGGCCAUAGACUGCAGUUGCUCUGCUGUGCCCAGGGAGCUUGAGCCUGACUCCAUCUGCCCCAAAGACACAGCUGGGUUGAAGACUGAUAAUUGCCCUGGUCUGCCCCAUUGGCACAUACCGUGCUAAUUCCUUGUCAAUUGGCCAUCAACCAAUAGGUGGCAUAGCGAGGUGGAGUGGCCUCCCUUCAAGGCUGACAGGGAGGAAUCACUCCAAGCUACUACAGUGUCAAGAAGGGACAAGGUCUUUGGUUGUCUAAUAUUAGGGCAAUAUGAGGGAUCUUAAUAGAGAUGGGAAGGAAGAGGAAGGACCCACAGACAUAGUACAAGGAAGGCACUUUCUCAAGGCAGAGAAGAGUGUAUUUCGCAUAUUAUUAGUGUGCUAAUAGAUAACCUUUCUAAAAUUAUUAGAAAAUUGGAACUUCCACAGCAGACUUCAGGCUUCAUUUUCAGUAGUGGCCCCCUAUGUAAGUCCCUGCAUAUGGAUUUAGGUACUUAACUGUAGGCAUUCAAGUUUGAAAACUUAAGUCUUUGUUUUGGUAACUAUCAAAACU